This 292-nucleotide ribosomal RNA is filed under the name uncultured bacterium. RNAcentral's name for it is "partial 16S ribosomal RNA". It matches the Rfam family "Bacterial small subunit ribosomal RNA", at positions 505 to 796 of the family's 1533-position model. The record is from RNAcentral.
GUGCCAGCAGCCGCGGUAAUACGGAGGGUGCAAGCGUUAUCCGGAUUCACCGGGUUUAAAGGGUGCGUAGGCGGGCUAUUAAGUCAGUGGUGAAAUCUCAGAGCUUAACUCUGAAACUGCCAUUGAUACUAUUAGUCUUGAAUGUUCUGGAGGUGAGCGGAAUAUGUCAUGUAGCGGUGAAAUGCUUAGAUAUGACAUAGAACACCCAUUGCGAAGGCAGCUCACUACGGAAAUAUUGACGCUGAGGCACGAAAGCGUGAGGAUCAAACAGGAUUAGAUACCCUGGUAGUCC